UACAGAGGUCCCAAGCGUUGUUCGGAUUUAUUGGGCGUAAAGGGUGCGUAGGCGGCGGAGUAAGUUGGGUGUGAAAUCCCGGGGCUCAACCUCGGAAUUGCAUUCAAUACUGCUUCGCUAGAGUACUGGAGAGGAGGCUGGAAUUUACGGUGUAGCAGUGAAAUGCGUAGAUAUCGAGAGGAACACCUGCGGCGAAGGCGGGUUGCUGGGCCGUAACUGACACUGAGUAGACGAAAGCCGGUAGGGAGCAAAC
RNAcentral lists this ribosomal RNA (253 nucleotides) under uncultured bacterium. RNAcentral describes it as "partial 16S ribosomal RNA". It matches the Rfam family "Bacterial small subunit ribosomal RNA", at positions 524 to 773 of the family's 1533-position model. The record is from RNAcentral.